CACAGGCAUUUUUGGGAGGAGAAGGGAAUGGCAAAGCCGGGGUGAAGAACCAGCUGUAGGAAAAACUGCACUGGGGAGACACUCCCUGUCUGCUCUAGGGGAAUCAUACUGCAAAAUCCAUACAGCGUAACAAACCUCACCUUUUCUAACUAGAAAAGGAUGCAAAAAAUAAAGGUGAUUUUUUGUUUGAUUUGGCAUUGAGCCCCUGCAAAGUUUGGAAAGAGUACUGGAUAGAGUUCUGCUAGCGAACAUUUUCCCAGUACUGAAACUGUGGAUGUAAAGCUUCAUAUAAACAAAUUUCUAGGUUUGAAAACCUGAUCAAAAGCUGGCUCGUUCCUCUAGUUAGGAAACAGAAACAACAUCAUGUGAUGAAAACAGCCGAGCACCACAAACAGACAACUUAAGCAGCAAACAUCAGACAUUUUGAGAGAAAAUACUUACAAAGAAAUGCACGAGUAGUUGCCCACGACUGUGUCUCCAAAGCACCGAUGCCUUUUGGGAGCAAUUAGGGCACGUCAGAAGGCUGAGAACACUCCAGGAGAAAUUCCAGCUCCAUUCCUACAGCAGUUUAUGUUCAUAUGGAGAAAGCCCCCCCAGCUGCAAUACCCAUGCACCAAACAGGCCCACUCCAGCACAUGGCAGACACGCCAAGGCAGGAGGAUCUGCACGCCUCCAGGCCAGCAAUAAGAUGGUGCUCUGCCACUGCCUUGGACAGGGAGGGAUAUGAGCACUCUCCCUGGAUGAAACAUGAGCCCAAGAAGGAAGCUUUCCACUGAAAAUAAAAGAGCUGGAGAGAGGGAUCCAGGAUUUUUUAUCUCUGUUGUCCAGUUUUGUAUGUGGAAAAUUAAGAAACAAAGACAUCUGGUAAACUGUGAGACAAUAUAAGUAGGCUUGGGUAAUAACCACAAAUCAUGCAUUCAGCAGUAAUCCUGGCCCUCUGCACUCACUCACUAACAUUGAACUGUUCUCUUUGUGGGUUGCUGUUUGGACACUAGUCAAAGGCAAUUUUUUUACAAAGACAUAGACAUUGAGAAGGUUUUCACUGAUUUUUUUUUUCUGAGGAGAAAAGUUUGAAAACAUAGAAACUUCUGCAGACCUUAAAUAGGUUUUUUGCUAUUCACUAUUUUGCUAUUUACUCCCAAAAUAGCCAAAGUGAGCAGCUCUUCAGCUCUGCUGUGUCCCACAGGGAGCUUGGCAGACAGGAAAGGACAAGCCACCCUUGGUGCUCACAGAGACUCCACCACGUGCAAGCAUCUUCCUUUUGUACUAUUUAAGCCCUCUGCUCUGCCACCCUGUGUGGCUUCCCAGGGAUAUUUUCUCCCAUGUGUCACCGAGCUGCAAUGAGCCAGUGCCCAGAGGAAGCCAAGUGCACAUCCCACACACCUCUGCAGCCCAAGUCAGGCAAAGGCUGUCACUACCCAUGCUGAGAUAGUCCUGCAGGAAAGAGUGAGGCUCAACAGAAAGGUGAGGAAAGAGAUCAAAGAGAGGUGCAAAGGGUGAAGAAAGGACUUGUUUUCUUUCCCAUUCCCCAUUUUCUCAUUUGCAGAGAACUCAAGUCAAUAAACAGUAGUAGUACUGAAAGCUGUGGCAACAUCUGACAUUGCAGGGAGGAUGAGGUGGCAACAAAGGCAUACUGGCCUCAGCCCCAGCAUGGCCUCUCCCAGCACUUCCAUCCCCACCUGCACCCUGUGCACAAAUAUGCCCCUAUUUUGGGUCUUCCUGCUACUGUGUUCAUUUGCCAGCCAGAUGCAGCUGCAUCAACCCUUCCUGGGCUUCAGGAUGGGCUUUUCCAUCUUUUUUAUCCACCUAUUUUGUCUCAGGAGCCAUUAGUGCCAAGAAGGUAAGAACAUAAUUAUCAGGAUCCUCAUUCAUCACACCUAACUUCACAUCUGCCUUGGAGGACCUUCUUUGAAUCCCUUCUGCUAGAGAUACCACAGAAGAAGAUGCAUCACAAGAGAGCUGAGACUUAAAGUUAUGGAGAUGCAAAGGAAGAAUGAGAUAGGGCAAAAGAUGUGGCACUAAUGCAUGAAAACAUUAGUGGCUAAAUUAGGUGAAGGCCCAUAUGAGUGGGCACGCAGCAGAACUGCAGGAUUUGUUCCCUUUCUCAUUUUGGGCUGUUUAGGGACCCAGCUGGUCACUAUUUGUGCUGGCUACUCAUGUUUCCAAGGGCUAACCUGGGUACUCAGAGUCAUCAGGACACAAAGAUGUGGCUAUCGGUUGCUUGACGAAGGAGAGGAUGCUUACACAGAGAUUACAUUCCCAAAGGAUCCCUUGCAAAGAGGAGUCCUCCUCUGAGUGAGCUCACUGGCAUGAGAGGUGUUUUUGCAGGCAGAAAUAAGCAAUGCACCUGCAAAGGCACUGAGUGGGGAGAAGGAUAAGAGCUGUCCUCCAAUGUAAAACUGAUGAAGAAGCACUGCAGGUGCUGUCCCAGGUGAAUUGGGACAAAAUGUAAUGUGAUCACUUCCUGUUAUGUACAAUGAGGGGGAAUAAAAAGGAGAAAUAUGUCACUGAGAUGGAAACCAGGCAAAGGAAGCAGCUGAAGUUUGUCUUCAGCUACUCCAUUCUGGGCUUUGAGUACAUCAGCAAUUGGAAGGUGGGCAGCUCUUCCUGGACACCCAACGGAACCUGUGUGAGAGAAUGGGCAAUACUAACAAAUAACACCAUGGAUUUAAGAUUCACAAGAGAACAAGGGAAAAUCCACAGUGGGGCUUUCUGGAGUUUGUUUCUUUUAUGCACCACUGGAACCAGAAAAUAUAUCAAUAUGGAAAUUUAGCAAUGGGCUGAGGUUUCGCGGAACUUGCAUGAGAGUGGCCCAGUGCCUAACUCUGCUGUAACCCACAAAGGUCACACACUGAAGUGCUGGUUUCAGACAGUGACUCUGGGAGUUUCAGAGAGCUGUUUAACGGAACACUCCAGGGGUUGGCUGUGGCACUGCUCAGGCUGAGCGGGAAUCUCACUUCACACCACAGAUGCAUAAAAGUCAAUUUUUUUGUUUGCGAACUGUCUGGGACAAAUGUAGAAUUUUUGUCUAUUUUUAUGAACUUUUUUCAGAGAAAGCUAUGAACUUCAUUGGCCUGUGUGGGGAGGCAUAAACUUUCUGAGAUGGCUGUUGAUGGAAGUGUUUCAAGUCUUAACUGGAUUCGCUAAGUGAGAUACGGGAAAAAUGAUCUGAAAAAAAACCCUUUUCUUGUAUGUGGUAUUGACCAUUCACCCACAUCCACAUCAAGAGUUCUCAGCGGUGAUGCACCAAGACAGUGCCUGUGCUUGGCUUUUGUGGAGCACUGUACACCACUGCAUGAAAACCUGCAUUCGAGACACCCUGAGCUCCCAGCAUGAGACUGCUGCAUCUCUAUGGCGUCAUCACAUUGAGCCUUUCUCAUAAGAAAUGAGGUGUCAGGGUGCAAAACUGAUGAUGAGGAGCCUGCAGCAGCACCGGUGCCUUUGGUAUCAGAGUGACCUUGUGCUGUGGAAGGGCAAAGAAGGCCAGUGCAUUCCCAGAGAAAAGAAUAAAUGACACUACAACAGGAUUUGGCAACAAAUAUGAAGCACUGUUUGCUUUGCUGCCAAUGGAAGUGUAGAGGAAGGCACAGUUUAUCAUAGAGAAGUGACAUUUCAUCUCAGUUCUCUGAUCCAGAUGAAAAGGUGGACUCGGUGGUUUCCAUCUCUGUGUGACACAGCUCUUGGCACAGGAGCACAGACCAUACCAUCGCUUCACAGAUUCUGCAUUCUGGGCUCUCCGGGAAGGAAGGUCUAGAAAUCUCCACCUCGCUGCAGAUGGCACGUGUGGCAGAGAUCCUGCUGUGCCCAUGCCAGGUGCCUUUGUUCCUAGGGAUUUGGUCAGUGCCAGUCUCCGAAGGUACCCAUUGGAGCAGGUUAAGUGUCUCCAUGGAGAUCUCCCCAGCUCCCUCUCACAGUCCCUCCCUUCUCUUACAGCUUUCUGUUUAUUGUAAACAGCAUCCCCGUCUUGGCUGGAGAUGGUAGCUCUCCGCUUCACCCUGCUCACCUGCCCACCCAAGUUGCCUCCUGGUCUGCUGUUGCCUGGGAAAACAGCAAUGCCAUCCUUUGAAAAUAACCUGCACAUGGCGGAGGGCUCUUUUCAUUCCUGGAUUGCUUUUUCUUUCCACAUCCCUAUUAUGGGAUGUGCCUGGAUCUCUCAUAGCAGCUGCAGCAUCACUCCACCAACAAGGGCUGGGUGUUUGUACAUGAGGCAGAGUUUGUAGGAAGGAGGCUGGGGGCUGCAACCUCCAAACCCCACUCCUUCCUCCAGCCACAAAGUCUUUCUUCCAUCCUCACAUUCUUGCUCCUAAAACACUCUCACCAUUAAGGCUAGCAUUCCAGGAAGAAGUUGGAAAAAAAAAAAUAGAGAUCUUUCAAUUUCUUUCACCUUCAAGUCAAAACUAAACUUCCCUACUUUUAUUGUUCAAGGCAGAUUUUUUUUCUGGCCUUUAACCAAGACUUCUUGCCUGGAGUGUACUCAGAUCUAUGACACACAGUCGAUGUGUUCAGUGAAAGCUGCACUUCACCAUUAACAAAUGAAGGCUUUAAAAGCAGAGUGCUUGGAUGUCAGGAACAAAAAAAGCAAGACCCAGAGUUCCACAGUGUCAUAAAUUUAUUUUUUGACAUCAGCUGUCCAAACACUUUUGUUGGUCUGAUGCAGUCCUUUUUUUUCCCCAGAGAAGUCCAAGUCCAUGGUGAUAGAGCUCCACAUAUGCUCCUAAGACAGCUCAUACAGCAUGAGGACUGCUCAGAGCACCACAGUGCCCUGCACUCAGUGAGCCUGAAUGAUGUAAUCCUUCAGGUUCUUGGUGACACCCAGGACAGGCAGAGCCUUCUCUGCACCAGUGCACUGUGACUUUUCCACUUCCUUCCCUCAGGAGAGCAGCACUCAGUGGAGGUGGAGGACAGCAGGACAGCUCGUGCUGACAAGUACAACAUAGAUGGCUGGCAAGUGACUUACUUAAGGCAGGCCCAUAGUCCAGGGCCUGACUGGGUGAGUGCCUCCUGGCCAGUGCUCAUGGAGAGCAAGUUGUUCUGCCAAAUGCACUAGCCUGGUUGGGUCAGACUCCACUGUUUCAUGAAGCAAGUCCCUCUGUUGCAUGUGGAGAAUUAUCACCUUCAGGCAGAGAGAAAAGGUUAUAAGGAUGGACAUACAAGUGAAACAUGGGCACCAAAAAUGGUGAAAACUUAUGAGAUCACCUUGUCCUUUUCUCACAUCUAGUCAAUAUAGAAUUGUUCCCUCACUGACUCCAGAACAAUGCCACUUAACCUAGAUGCAAUCAUGCUGCAGGAACUGCCAAACACAAUGCAAUAAAGACCAGAGAAUGAGCUCAUAUGAGUUAAUCCAAUUCCUGCAAUAAAACAAUCCAGGACUCUGGUCUCCAUCCUGCAACAUUCUCCUGAGCCAACCCUUUUCCAAGCCAACCCUUGAGUGUGGUAACACUCAGACACAAGCUGGAGCCACUGGUGGGCUGCUGAAAUAACCUGGAGCUGGGAAAACGCAGCAAAACAAUAUGUUCUUUCUACUAAAACUGUUGCUUUGUUUAGAUGGGAUCCAUAAACCUUGUUAUUCACAAACAUUCAGGGAGCAGAGCUUUAUUUCCAAGAAUGCUCAUGGAAAGGAAAUCCAUUGUGUAGGCCAACAUGAAUAGAGCUUUGCUGUGCAGUUUUUAUGGGCAGCAUCCAGGUGGCUAGUGAGAAAAUAGCUUCUUGUCAAGUAAAGUAAUGCAUUACAGCUACAGAUAAUUCCCAAGCAGUUGGAAGGCAUCCCCACCUGGGAGGCACACGUCACCCCAAGAGGAGUCUGAAACAAUGCCACACAGCAAACACCCAGCAGGAACAGCCAUCACCAAAUCCACCAUCAACCAAAGCAUUCACUGUUUGCAAGUCAUUGCAGAGCCACAAAAACACACCUAGACAGCAGGAAGGAUCAUCCCAUAUAUUUCUUAGAGUGGAAUCUUACAGUGCCUUGUACAUAAUAGACCUUAAAACAAAGGGUUAAAAUUAAUUGUAGGGUCCACUGAAACACUUUCCUGGAAAUGGCCUGAGCAGCAAACCUAUCUCCACCUCCUUCCUAAAAUCAUGUAGCUGAUAAAAAGCAGAAAGUCUUUUGUCACUGUUUUGUAUGCAUAAUUAGGUUUGGUUUGCAGAGCCAUGGGUUCUGAGUUAGCAAGUGCACAUGCACACACACAAACACACACAGACCUCGCUCAUUUAUGUGACUGGUACCCAGAAUCACAACUCCUCAGCCAGUGUCUGGGUGGCAAACAUGAAAAUGCAUUUUGAUAAUAUUGAUGCUGGAACGCAACAGCAUGCACAAAAAUACAUCCACCAAGUGCAACACAUUGUAAACACAAGAAUAAGAAAAAUAAACAAAUACAUGUAAUUUCAUCUGGGUCACAAGUUGACUCAAUGUGACAUUUCCUUUUGUAGUGAAGAACAUUGGAGAAAAGAGAACUUAUUUAUACAUACUGGAAAAUAUUUGGCUACGAUUUUUUCUAGCUCUCUUGGUUAUUUUUACAUUAAACCUUAGUUUUUAGAGGUUUUUUUCCCCCUUUCAAGAUCAAGAUUUUCUUUCUACUUUAUCUCACAGAAUCAUAACUCAUAGUUCUGCACCCCUAGAAAAAACUGCUGUAUGGCUGCAAGCAAUGACCUCACCAUGUGUCAUUUUGCCCCAAAAUCAAGUGAGAGAUUAGGCUGUAAGCAGUAGUGCUAACUUCAAUAUAAUCAGCUAUUUAAAGACAUAUGAAACAACGUCCAUUUCUCCCAUGUUCACUUUCUUCUCUGAGUGAUGCUUUGCAGCUGUGUCUCUCCCAGCAGCAAGGCAGCCAGGAGUCCCUGGGGAGCCCAUUUACACUGCUGUUCUUGAAGGGCUGAAGUGGGAACACGUGUCCUGUGUCCCUGGACACACACGCUCACACACACAGCUCUGUGAAGCCCCGUGGGUGGUUUGCAUGGAAGAGAAAAUGUUGGCUAAAGUUCCUCUUGCUCUGCUUGCCUAGUACAGAGGGAAUGUGGUGCUGGUCUCAGAUGGGUCCCUCCUGCUCCCUGAGCUGGCCAUGGAGCCGUGGUCAGCCCUGGAUGCACACACGGGCGUUGCUGAGCUGCAGGUUACAGAGAAGGGAGACAGCAACUCCUCAGGGCAAAAGGGCUCAACUCCGUGUGCAGGUUUCCAUCCAGAGCACUCAAAGCACUGUGCACAGGGUACAGGAAUCACAGGGAGGGACAGGGAAGGGAAGAGGUUGACCUAGUCACUGAGCAAGCCAGCUGGCUGCAUGUACAUGUUUGGAGUGCCAGGUCAGGCUAGAAGCAUCACAGCAUCCUACACAGUCACUCAUUUACCAUGAGCAGCAGAGUAUGGCAAGCACAAAUAACAUGUGAAACCCAACAGAGAAAGCCAAGCCUUGCUCUGGGCUGAAGACCCCUCUGCAGCCCUUUGGGAAGGUGCCAAGCAAAGCCAAGGCUCGCUGUGAAAUAUCAUGUAUGUCUGUGUUGAGGGAGCUGGGGAAACCCAGAAGGGAGCUUUUCAACAAGGAUAUGAGGGAAGACUGGCAAAAGCAAGCAGGUGCCCAGAGCUCCCUGUCCACACAGAGUGACACUGCAGCACGGAGCAAAUGAGAUUAUAGUCAUCAGCCCUGUGACAAGGGCAAGAGUAAUCACCUCUGCCUAACAAACACAGGACCUGAGACAGGCCAAGUGCAGCUACACCAGUGGUGGGAGCAGUAUGGCAAGCCUCUGCCUGGGUCUCUGGGGUUCACAUUAAAUGGGGCCAAGAGUGGGAAAGGCCAUCCAUCUGAGCCAGGCAGCAGCAGUCAGUAAAGAGGGAGACAGCAAGAGGAUCUGCACUUCAAGGGUCUUGGCUGUGCAUUACCAGCUCAGCUGUUGUCCACACAGCUCCCUGCAUCAGCCCUGUGCUUCCCCUUGUGCCCCUGGCAAGGGUGUCCUCGGGCU
Passer domesticus (house sparrow) is the source of this 7947-nucleotide long non-coding RNA. RefSeq lists it as uncharacterized. The record is from RefSeq and is a predicted model, not a curated record. The transcript has 3 exons. Lineage: Eukaryota; Metazoa; Chordata; Aves; Passeriformes; Passeridae.